Molecule: ribosomal RNA, 435 nt
Filed under: uncultured bacterium
Lineage: Bacteria
Description: bacterial SSU rRNA
Rfam family: Bacterial small subunit ribosomal RNA
Source: RNAcentral
AGAGUUUGAUCCUGGCUCAGAUUGAACGCUGGCGGUAUGCUUAACACAUGCAAGUCGAACGGCAGCACGUUAUUUCUUUUCGGAGAGAUAAUGGUGGCGAGUGGCGGACGGGUGAGUAACGCGUAGGAAUCUACCCUAAAGUGGGGGAUAACCCGGGGAAACUCGGGCUAAUACCGCAUAAUCUCUACGGAGCAAAGCUGGGGACCAGAGUUUACUUUGGCCUGGCGCUAUAGGAUGAGCCUGCGUCGGAUUAGCUUGUUGGUGGGGUAAUGGCCUACCAAGGCAACGAUCCGUAGCUGGUCUGAGAGGAUGAUCAGCCACACUGGGACUGAGACACGGCCCAGACUCCUACGGGAGGCAGCAGUGGGGAAUAUUGGACAAUGGGCGCAAGCCUGAUCCAGCAAUACCGCGUGUGUGAAGAAGGCCUUCGGGUUG